CCAAAAGAAAGGCUAAAUGUGCUCAUGGUCUUUCUGUCUACAUAUUCCCCUUUCAUUCCCCUCUCUCACAUUUGUAAUCCUGUAAUGAACUCAUAUGUCUUUAUCUUUUAGUGCCACCCCUGCUAUAUUCCUGAAACUGAACCCCUGGGUUUCUGGUUAUCCAUUUUCAGGAAAUAAAAAGACAGGGAGAGACUUCUAAUUCAUUUGUCAUCAGAAAGGUUCCAUCUCUUUUGUAAAAGGGGUGAUAAAUUAUGCUGAGAAAAGGACAACUUUAAACAAAACUUGAAAAAUGGAGAAUAUUUCUAUUUGAAGAAGCAUUUUAUUCAUCUAAAUUUAUUCUAAGGAAAAUAAUCAUUGCAGACUGAUACUGCCUUAUGGACCCUCCGUUUUUGAAGAUACCACAGGCUACCACAGAUGGUACUAAGGUAGAAAGGUCUCAACUUUGGGCCCAGAGAUGUCUGUCCAGAUAUGGAACAAUCUACUUACAUUUGGAGAAUCUCAUCAAAUCAAGGGGAAGAUAACACAUAAAAAAGAAGCUGAAAAGUCCAAAAGCCAAAAGAGGAGGAAAAUAUACUGGCCCAGGUGCUGCCCUUCAGUGGAAUUUCUAGGAGGAGCCAUUGGAUGACUGAGAUAAACUAUGGAGACAAAGAUGACAACUUCCUUGAAAAGCACAAGAUUUUGGAAAUCAGCCUGUACAUGUUUGAGAUGAAACUGCAAAUCCCUGACUGCCUUUUUUCUGCCUGGCUAUUUGCUUCCCUGUUACAUGUUAGCAGCCAGAAAUCCUGAGAAGCAGAUUAUUUCCAGCCUUGGUGAUGACCUAAUGAGUUGAGAUUUCUGAUUUGGAUGCUAGCUGAACAGGGAAGGUAAUUUCCCUACCACUAAGCCUCUCAGAGAAGGAAAGGACCAUUCCUGCAUAGGGAAGAUUAAAGAAGGACAUGUACCAAGAUUGAGAGAUACUUGUAACUGUGAGUUACUUAGACAAUUCAGGUUCAAGCUAACUGGGAAUGAAGAGUUUGCCACUUAAUUGCACAAAAUUCCCCUUGCCUUCUUAAGAAAGUAAAAUAAGGAGAGUGAUCAAAUAUUUGUUGUUUUCUGCAUUUGUUUUAGCUUUAGAUUUGACUUAUAUUGUAUCGUAAAUAGUUUAUUAUUUGAAGAAAUACAAUAUUCUAUCUGGAUCUCCUAUUUCACUUUCUUAUUUUUUAAUUGUACAUUUUCGAGAAGAGAUCUUGUCUGUGUUUUGAGGAGAUCCUUGUAUCCUUGUCUUAGUGAAACCCAAGUUUUAGUUUAGAGAUUUCCUCUUAGUUUUACUCAAAGAUUAUAGAAGAGUCAGAGAGCAAAAAAAUCGCUUUUUUGGUGGGAGUCAGGGCCACUAGCAGCUUGG
This 1381-nucleotide long non-coding RNA is filed under the name Monodelphis domestica (gray short-tailed opossum). RNAcentral describes it as "lncRNA (ENSMODG00000036811.1)". Lineage: Eukaryota; Metazoa; Chordata; Mammalia; Didelphimorphia; Didelphidae. The record is from RNAcentral.